GUUGAACGCUGGCGGCAUGCCUAAUACAUGCAAGUCGAGCGAACAGACGAGGCAGUUUCUUCCCUGACGGUAGCGGCGGGCGGGUGAGUGACACGUGGAGAACCUACCUAUAUGGCUGGGAUAAAUUCGGGAAACCGGAGCUAAUUCCGGAUAAUAGUUUGAACCGCAUGGUUCAAUAGUGAAAGACGGUUUUGCUUUGGAUGUGAGAUGGAGCCGCACCGCAUUAGCUAGUAGGUAAGGUAACGGCUUACCAAGGCAACGAUGCGUAGCCGAGCUGAGAGGGUGAUCGGCCACACUGGAACUGAGACACGGUCCAGACUCCUACGGGAGGCAGCAGUAGGGAAUCUUGCGCAAUGGGCGAAAGCUUGACGGAGCCACGCCGCGUGAGUGAUGAAGGUCUUCGGAUCGUAAAACUCUGUUAUUAGGGAAGAACAAAUGUGUAAGUAACUAUGCACGUCUUGACGGUACCUAAAGAGAAAGCCACGGCUAACUACGUG
This 497-nucleotide ribosomal RNA is filed under the name uncultured bacterium. RNAcentral describes it as "partial 16S ribosomal RNA". It matches the Rfam family "Bacterial small subunit ribosomal RNA", at positions 28 to 507 of the family's 1533-position model. The record is from RNAcentral.